UAAAAGUCGUAACAAGGUUUCCGUAGGUGAACCUGCGGAAGGAUCAUUACCGAUUCGAUAUUAGAUAUAGAUUAAUAUUAUUAAUCGAUUUUUAGUAUCACAAACCCAUGUAAACCCACUGUGUGAUGAGAAACUAAAUGUAGCAUGGGCCGAAGCUUUUCCGGUAUGUAUAAUUCUAUUAUAUGUGCGGGGAGAAUGGAAGCCCACGUUUAUUUUUCAACCCCUUUAUAACCAAAACAACUGUGGUCAAAACCUUAAGUCGGGGCAAGCCCUUUGUUGGGACUGCAACGCAAUUAAGAAAACACAACUUUUAACGGUGGAUCUCUAGGCUCGUGCAUCGAUGAAGAACGCAGCUAGAUGCGAUACGUAAUGUGAAUUGCAGAAUUCAGUGAAUCAUCGAAUCUUUGAACGCAAAUUGCGCUUCGGAGCAAUCCGGAGCACUUCUGGUUGAGUGCCACUGUUCUACCUAACAACUCGCGGGCAUGCAAAUGCCAAGCGGAGGUGCGGGGUGCGGUGAAAAGCCGUGCUGUGUGAAGCAAGUGGUAAAGCACACGGUGAGACGAAGGCGUCUGUUGUUUUCGGACAAUGGGCGCGCAUCAUCGGUUAUGUGGUGUGCCAAGAAGCGAGAAGCUAUUAUAGCAGAUUGCGGANAGCGCCAUGUAUCGGGCUGAUGGUGUAGAAAGUCUUGCGGAAGCUGUUGACUCUGGAAACGGAGACGACCAACACUUAUGGCCUCAACUCAGGAGAGACUACCCGCCGAAUUUAAGCAUAUC
Molecule: ribosomal RNA, 773 nt
Filed under: uncultured eukaryote
Lineage: Eukaryota
Description: eukaryotic LSU rRNA
Rfam family: 5.8S ribosomal RNA (bases 306-457)
Source: RNAcentral